GUCCUUAUUGCCAGUGUGAAGUAGAUGAGGAUGAGCUAAUCGACCACUGUCUCAAUUACCACAGAUGGGAAGGGAAAGCAGUGGUAAUGGCAUAGAAACUGUUGGUUAAGGUCUUGUUGAAAGAGUUCUAGGUGGGUCAUUCUUAGAAUGUGUGCAUGUGAAUCAUCCAAACAGCACGUAAGGACUAUUGCAGAAGAGUGGAAGAACAUGUUCUGUAGAUAAAUAUGGUUAUUAAAAUUUAA
Long non-coding RNA from Pezoporus occidentalis (night parrot), 242 nucleotides. RefSeq lists it as uncharacterized. The record is from RefSeq and is a predicted model, not a curated record. Lineage: Eukaryota; Metazoa; Chordata; Aves; Psittaciformes; Psittacidae. The transcript has 2 exons.